This 253-nucleotide unclassified non-coding RNA is filed under the name uncultured Flavobacteriaceae bacterium. RNAcentral describes it as "contains 16S-23S intergenic spacer region". It matches the Rfam family "Bacterial small subunit ribosomal RNA", at positions 524 to 776 of the family's 1533-position model. The record is from RNAcentral. Lineage: Bacteria; Pseudomonadati; Bacteroidota; Flavobacteriia; Flavobacteriales; Flavobacteriaceae.
UACGGAGGAUCCAAGCGUUAUCCGGAAUCAUUGGGUUUAAAGGGUCCGUAGGCGGGAUAAUAAGUCAGUGGUGAAAGUCUGCAGCUCAACUGUAGAAUUGCCAUUGAUACUGUUGUUCUUGAGUGUUUAUGAAGUGGUUAGAAUAUGUAGUGUAGCGGUGAAAUGCAUAGAUAUUACAUAGAAUACCGAUUGCGAAGGCAGAUCACUAAUAAAAUACUGACGCUGAGGGACGAAGCCCUGGGGCGCAAACCGG